UCCACGCUGUAAACGAUGAUCACUCGUUGUUGGCGACACAUUGUCAGCGACUAAGCGAAAGCAUUAAGUGAUCCACCUGGGGAGUACGGCCGCAAGGUUGAAACUCAAAGGAAUUGACGGGGGCCCGCACAAGCGGAGGAACAUGUGGUUUAAUUCGAUGAUACGCGAGGAACCUUACCUGGGCUUAAAUGCACGACGAUUAAUCGGGAAACCGAUUUUUCCUUCGGGACGGAGUGCAAGGUGCUGCAUGGUUGUCGUCAGCUCGUGCCGUGAGGUGUCGGGUUAAGUCCCAUAACGAGCGCAACCCCUAUCGUUAGUUGCCAGCGGGUAAUGCCGGGGACUCUAACGAACUGCCGGUGUAAACCGUGAGGAA
RNAcentral lists this ribosomal RNA (373 nucleotides) under uncultured bacterium. RNAcentral's name for it is "bacterial SSU rRNA". It matches the Rfam family "Bacterial small subunit ribosomal RNA", at positions 794 to 1171 of the family's 1533-position model. The record is from RNAcentral.